CAGCCGCCACGGUAACACGGAGGGUGCAAGCGUUAAUCGGAAUUACUGGGCGUAAAGCGCACGCAGGCGGUCUGUCAAGUCAGAUGUGAAAUCCCCGGGCUUAACCUGGGAACUGCAUUUGAAACUGGCAGGCUAGAGUCUUGUAGAGGGGGGUAGAAUUCCAGGUGUAGCGGUGAAAUGCGUAGAGAUCUGGAGGAAUACCGGUGGCGAAGGCGGCCCCCUGGACAAAGACUGACGCUCAGGUGCGAAAGCGUGGGGAGCAAACAGGAUUAGAUACCCGCGUAGUCCCUGUCUCUUAUAC
Molecule: ribosomal RNA, 301 nt
Filed under: uncultured bacterium
Lineage: Bacteria
Description: partial 16S ribosomal RNA
Rfam family: Bacterial small subunit ribosomal RNA
Source: RNAcentral